RNAcentral lists this long non-coding RNA (1142 nucleotides) under Homo sapiens (human). Its description in RNAcentral is "HSALNT0128825". The record is from RNAcentral. Lineage: Eukaryota; Metazoa; Chordata; Mammalia; Primates; Hominidae.
AGAAAGAGCAAAAGGACCUGCUGUGUGUGGCUGGAGGUGGGGGGAGCUGUGGGGACCCUGAUAGUGACAGGCGAGGUAUAAAUAGCCUGGGCCCUGCGGCUCAUGUUCUGUCGGCUGCCUGUGACGAGGUGCUCAGGAAUUCCACUCUCCUAUUGGCAACCCCUUCUCCCUAUCUCUAGAACUCUCAUUCUCCCCAAGCCACCUUCAACUCAUGGCUAAAUCCACCCAUCAGGCACCCGUGCUGUCCAUACACUUGAGAGGCUGAGCUCUGCUGUGGAGAGAGGCCCCGCUCCUAGGACACGCAGCUGGGCCUCACAAGGGAACUGUGUAUGUACAAAGGCCGACUUCUGACAGCCAACCUGAUGUGCCAAGGGCUCAGGGUUCAGCAGUGCUGCCUCUGAAUCCCUGGUGAGUAAACUGAGACACAGAUCUGAGAAAGGAUGCAUUCCUCUUUGAGCUGCUGGGGAGGAGAAAGGGUUAAGGUGAGGUAGCUCGGAGCUGACAGCCCCUUUACAGACCCUAAUGGUCCACAGUCCUGUUUUGCAGGCAUUAUCUGAGGUCCCCCAGCCAGCUGAGCGCCUCUGUUCAGGUGGAGAGGCCGGAGGAAGCCAGGGAGGGGAGAAGGAACUCCCAGCGUAGCUUCCCUUGCUUUCCCUCUGACUCAAGAGCUCGCUCCAGGGGAGGUCAGUGUGCGGGUCCCAGGGGAUCAAGUGAAUGGUUGGCAGAGGAGAGGAGGGUACAGAGUGCCAAAGGAUGAUUCCCGUCACCCCCCGCAACCGUCCUCAGAAACCUGAGCCUGUUGCUCUCCAGGAUAAAUCGGGGCCUGACUCAGGCCCCAGCAGCCAGUGACACUCAGCCUGACCCAGGCGCGGGCUGGUGACUCAGCCCUCAAUAUAGCCCAUGAGCCCAGGCCCUGGGCCUGGCCAGCCAGGCUGGAACAGACCGUGCACAAUGCUGGGCCCGGCCUGCCAAGUAGGGCCCCCUCCCCGAGGAGCGCUGACAUGCUCCUCCCCAAGCCAGGCAGGGGCACACAGGGGGUUACAAGGGGUUUCAUCAGCUGAGUAUCUGGGCAGUGCUGGCUGGGGCCACAGGCUGUUUAUAGCCCCCUGACUCACCACCUGCUGACCUAUCUCAGGAGACCA